RNAcentral lists this transfer RNA (91 nucleotides) under Catellatospora coxensis. RNAcentral describes it as "tRNA-Arg". The record is from RNAcentral. Lineage: Bacteria; Bacillati; Actinomycetota; Actinomycetes; Micromonosporales; Micromonosporaceae.
UGGGUGGGCGGCCCGGGGGAGGGCGGGACGCCCCUUUGCGGGAGGGGCGGGGUCCGUUACUGUGCACGUUCACAGACGUGCCGUGCUUGUC